Molecule: ribosomal RNA, 622 nt
Filed under: Pulvinaria iceryi
Lineage: Eukaryota; Metazoa; Arthropoda; Insecta; Hemiptera; Coccidae
Description: partial 28S ribosomal RNA
Rfam family: Eukaryotic large subunit ribosomal RNA
Source: RNAcentral
GAUAUUUCCGUCGCCGACCCUCAACCGAGGGUGUCGGACGUCGCGACCCGUUCGCCACGAUCGAUGCUGAGGGGCGCGUUUCAAGCUCGUAUGCGCGGCCGUUUCGGCGUGUCGCGCGACGAUGGCGCGUUCCCACUGUUUUCGACGCGGACGGUAGCUUUGCGCGCGGGUAAUCGAGGCGGUCCUCUCGUCCGGCGUCUCGUACGUCGGAUGGCGCCGCCUCGACGCCGGUCAGCGACGAAUCUUCGGGCCUCUUUUCGACCCGUCUUGAAACACGGACCAAGGAGUCUAGCGUGCGCGCGAGUCGCGGGGUAUCCGAGGAGUAGUAGCCGUUUCGGCGGCGAACGCUUCUCGUCACGAUACGAAACCCGUGUACGUACGUUGUGCGAAGGCGUAAUGAAAGUGAAAGGCGGCGCUUCGCGCGUCGCCGGGGGAAGACGGUCGACCGAGUACACGUUUCGCGAUCGCGCAUGUAUCGCGACCGGUCACCCGCAUUCCCAGGGCGUCCCGCUCGUACGCCGGCGGCCGGGGUUCGCGCCUCGACCGUCGACGAACUGGGGCGCACCUACAGCGUGCACGCUGGUACCCGAAAGAUGGUGAACUAUGCCUGGCCAGGAUGAAG